AACCUUAUGGACCUGCGGGCGUAUACCUGCGGAAGGAUCAUUCGAGAAUUGUUGUUCGUGGCACGCCCGCGGACAGCGUAUUGGAUUCGUCCAAGACCUUUGUGCAAACUGUUUUAACAUCCCUUGGCAUGCUUUAGAUAGAUUCAUUGGAUCUGUUUAACUCUCUUAAGAUCCUCUUGCGGGUUUUUAGGGAGCGGCAUGCCUAAGGUUUAUUAAACCAACGCGUCUUUUUGUCUGAAA
Molecule: unclassified non-coding RNA, 240 nt
Filed under: soil metagenome
Description: partial contains 5.8S ribosomal RNA, internal transcribed spacer 2, and large subunit ribosomal RNA
Source: RNAcentral